This 148-nucleotide non-coding RNA is filed under the name Pan troglodytes (chimpanzee). Lineage: Eukaryota; Metazoa; Chordata; Mammalia; Primates; Hominidae. The record is from Rfam by way of RNAcentral.
GCCGGGCGUGGUGGCGCAUGCCUGUAAUCCCAGCUACUUGGGAGGCUGAGGCAGGAGAAUAGCUUGAACCUGGGAGGUGGGGUUUGCAGUGAGCCGAGAUUGCACCAUUGCACUUCAGCCUGGGUGACAGAGCAAGACUCCGUCUCAA